GUGUCAGCCGCCGCGGUAAUACGCAGGUGGCAAGCGUUAUCCGGAUUUACUGGGCGUAAAGAGUGCGUAGGCGGUUCAUCAAGUCGGAUGUGAAAUCUCCCGGCUUAACCGGGAGGGGUCAUUCGAAACUGUUGGACUAGAGGACAGCAGGGGGAGGUGGAAUUCCCGGUGUAGUGGUGAAAUGCGUAGAUAUCGGGAGGAACACCAGUGGCGAAGGCGGCCUCCUGGGCUGUUUCUGACGCUGAGGCUCGAAAGUGUGGGGAGCGAACAGGAUUAGAUACCCUGGUAGUCCACACUGUAAACAAUGGACACUAGGUAUGGGGAGUAUCGACCCUUUCUGUGCCGAAGCUAACGCUUUAAGUGUCCCGCCUGGGGACUACGGCCGCAAGGCUAAAACUUAAAGGAAUUGGCGGGG
RNAcentral lists this ribosomal RNA (415 nucleotides) under uncultured prokaryote. RNAcentral describes it as "bacterial SSU rRNA". It matches the Rfam family "Bacterial small subunit ribosomal RNA", at positions 505 to 918 of the family's 1533-position model. The record is from RNAcentral.